Molecule: long non-coding RNA, 984 nt
Organism: Amphiprion ocellaris (clown anemonefish)
Lineage: Eukaryota; Metazoa; Chordata; Actinopteri; Pomacentridae
Source: Ensembl
ACUGAAACUCCGAUUUCCGACGCUUUGAACGCAACUUCGUUGUCCGACUGCAACUGAAUGCACCAAUGACGUUAGUUUGAUCUUUUGAUUGUAUUUCGUUUGGAUUUGAAGAAGCUUUGAAGACGUUUCCUGAUUCCGGAGGAGAAGACGAGCAGCUUUGUACCUUUGCGAGUGAAAGUAGCAGUUCCUCCUUAAGGUCAGAGAUUGCAGCAUCUGAGGGCCUCUUCAAAAGAAGACGUAGUUGAUGAAGGCGUUCUGGAGCAGGACCAGAAAGACCACGACCAAGCAGCCUUGAGAUCUUAGGCAGCGUCUCCCUGAGGUCCCUCUCUAUCUCCCCACACAUCCACCAACCACUGGAACUCAUCGCCAAAGUUCUGCUGGUCCAGCUCAGCUUCCCCUCAGAAGAAGUGGUGCCACCUGCCAGAUGAAGGAGCCUUUUGAGAGGCAGCUGGCAUCGUGAUUGGACUGUACUUUGGUCUGUUCCAAUCCAGCUUCAGCUCCAGAGACGGCAGGCGGGACGAGUCAACGGAGGCCGGAUGGACGAAGGCAUGCAGCUGAGUACAAUCCAGAAAACAACAGAGGAGGAGUGCAGCAGCCCAGAGCCAGAACAACCAGAGUAGCAUCGUAUGUCUCUUAGAAAACAUCAUAGUAUAGCCUUUGGUAUGAAAAAACACCAUCAUAUACAUCGUAUAUUGUACAAAUAACAAGUCAAAGGAAAGAGACAUACAUUGUAGAAUUGUAGUAAUUGUGGGCUGACUGAUUUACUGAUUAUCAGUAUUUUAUUUUUUACUGAUUUACGGUAAUAAAUACAUUUAAAAAUGGUGCUACUUUGGCUCUGAACCUUUAUCUACCUGUGGUCGCUCUGUCUUCUGGAGUGAUUUGAUUGGUUAUACGUCAUGAAUAAAACUCCUUUAACAUCUGUAAACAAAAAAAAAACGUAUCAACAAAGUUUUCUGUUAGAGUUUGUGUUCUUCUAAGUUUAAC